Molecule: non-coding RNA, 12241 nt
Organism: Rattus norvegicus (Norway rat)
Lineage: Eukaryota; Metazoa; Chordata; Mammalia; Rodentia; Muridae
Source: RefSeq, a predicted model, not a curated record
AAGAACAUCAGAAGUUGAAUUUGGUUUGUAGGCUGCUCGUUUUGUCUGGGAUGCUGAACUCUUUGGACAAACAGAAGAAUCAAUAGACUAUCCCAUUUGGGAAUUUUCCAACUGUCUUGAAGAAGCACUUUCUAGAACAGCAGUUCUCAACUUGUGGGUCAUGUCCCAUUUUUUUUUUAAUUUUUUUUUUUUGGUUCUUUUUUUUCGGAGCUGGGGACCGAACCCAGGGCCUUGCGCUUCCUAGGCAAGCGCUCUACCACUGAGCUAAAUCCCCAACCCCAUGUCCCAUUUUUGGGUUACACAUCAGAUAGUCACAUUGCAAUUCAUGUCAGUGACGAAAUUACAGUUAAAAAGUAGCAACAAAAUGGGGUCACCUCAGCACGAGGACCUGUAUUAAAGGCUUGCAGCAGUAGGAAGGUUGAGGACCACUGUGCUAGAGAGUCUUGGAUGGCUAUUUAGUUUGUCACUGAAAUUUACAUCAGGGAGAGAAGCCUGGCUGUGUCUAUUCAAAUACAGCAAAAGAGAAGAACUCACGUUUUCUGGAAGUCUUCAGUUCUCAAGGUUUUAUCUUUCUUAUCUUCCGAUGCUAUUUUCAGAGGAAAUGCAUUCUGUUUAUUAACUACACUACAGUGUAGACGAUUUCCCCCACCCCCUCCCUCGGGGUCCUUUGCAAUCAUGUGCUCUGUCCUUGAGCUAUAUCAGGAGCCGAACCUAGUAGGUUUUAACACAUCUGCUUGGAGUUAAAACAUCCACUCCAAUUAAGUACCUUUUAGUAGGAGGAGCAGAAGAAUGACUCCCAGGGCGCUAGUUGCCUCUUGGUAGUUAGGGUUUUUGUAUCUUUUCUGGAGAUUUUUACUUUCCAUUUUUCUUCAUACAGAUGAAGGGAGAAGAGAAAAAGCACUGGUCCUAUUGUUUCUGGUCCAACAGAGUCAGAAGUGCUUGUAGACAGAAGCGUGGCCGAUUUCAUAAGUGACCCAGAACUAGCCGGACUUCAAAGAGCUUCCUCUUUUCUCUGCAUGAAGAACUCCUUAAAGCCAUCCUUUUUCCUUUUACAAGGUGAACGCUUCAAAGCCCAUGGGAGGGUGUUCCCUUCGCGGUGUUUACCUUCCAGAGGUUACAAAAUGUUCUCUGAGUGCCUAGAAAUGACAGGCCAAGUGAACUAGUGAGAAAGCGCACGCCCGCUCUCUCUGAGAGCUAGGAGACGAUGUACCGGAUUCCCAACCCCAGCACUUGAAGCAGUGCAUCUGACGUAAGGAUCAGCCUUUCCAGGCAAGAUUACUUUGAGAUGCUGUGAAAGGUGCAGAGUAGUGCUCCGUGGUGCAGAACAGCUAAGAAGGCAUCCCGAAAGCUCAGUCAGAUGCUAAUGCAUCCUUUCAGGCCUCUGGUAACCAAGUUCCAUGUGUUCUAGCAAGCUCUGUGGGGCUGAAGACAGAGGCCGUGGUUUAGUAGCCCAGAAUCUCUUUUUGAGCAAAAGAACGUCUUACUUUGUAAGAUGUGUGUGUGUGUGUGUGUGUGUGUGUGUGUGUGUGCUUAUUUUGCAAACGUGUGUAAAAUCUUUAACACUUAUGUGAGAUACAUUUCCAAAUAGCUUAAGGAUCAGUUUGAAUUGGGUCUUUGUCCAAUGGGCACGUUGUUACUUUCUGCAUUUCCAUUCAGUAAAAUCAACAGAUUACCAAAAACAAAUGGCAAGAUAUCACACACACACACCACACACACACACGUGACAUAUAUGACUAUAUGACGUGUGUGUGUGUGUGUGUGUGUGUGUGUGUGUGUGUGUACUAUGAGAUGAGUCAUAGGACAGCAUCAUACCUGUUAUAACCAAUGGAAGCAAACACAUAGGAAGCUAAUGCUGGGUGGUUAGAUUAUGUAUUACUUCAUGUAUUUAUACUAGAGAAGAGUCAGGGUUUUUCUCUUUAGAUAUGAUCUCAUGUAGUCCGGAGUGCCUCACACUAGAUAUUUAUCUAAGCAAGAUAUCAAAAUGACUUUGAACUUCUGCCUCAGUGCAGGCGUUAUAGGUGUGUGUCAGCACAGUGAGUUCAUGUAAUCAGGGAACAAAAGUCAGGAUUUUGUGUAUACUAGACAAGCUGUCUACUAAAAGGUAUUAAUUCAUGUUGUGAAAGUGAUUUUACCCAUUGUAAAAUGUGUGUGUGUGUGUGUGUGUGUGUGUGUGUAUACAUAUGUUACCCAUGCAGGCUUGAUGAUGGAGUUGGUUUUCCUGCAACUGGAGUUACAGGUGACUGUGAGCUGCCUCAUGUGGGUGCCAGGAACCUAUUGCAAGACCUAAGUAAGACCAGGAAGUACUCUUCACUGGUGAAUCAUUUCUUCAACCCUCUAAUUCACGUUUAAAAACCUAGCGAAACUGAAUUUCCCCUGCAAAACUAUGUCGUCUCUGAGAAAACACACUAGAACAUCAAUUUUAUUUUAUACAGUGUGGCCAUCACCGUGAUAAAUGCAAGAAAAUGAAACGUUACUGCCUUUUAUCAAUGGCCGUCAGGGCCGAACACGGAGUUAUUAGACCUCAGAGAAAUGAUCUCUAAUCAACAGAGCAGUGAUCACGAAAUACCACACUCACAGUGAUUGAUGUGUGUCGUGAGUAGGUACUUGAUAGCGGUCACCCUUGCUGUAUGUGUUUGGACUCUGAUGUUUGGAUUGGCAUCAAGAGGCUCAUUUUCCCAGGGGACAAAGACAAGAGUCUGGCGCUGUCCUUUCCAGCCUGACCUAGCAGUAACUUUGAACUUGUUCAUUCCUCUGCAGCUGUGAUUCCCUUUCCAGGUUUCCAUGUACCCUUCCACAUUCAUAGUCUCUUCCUCUUAAUCCCUAAAGAAGUUUCCAUGGCUUGGUUGCUUGCUCCCUCCCUCCCUCCCUCCCUCCCUCCCUCCCUCCCUCCCUCCUUCCCUCCUUCCCUUCCUUUCCUCCCUCCCUCUUCCUUUCCCGCCUUCCUUCUUCUUUUUAUAUAUGUGUAAUUUUAUAGGUGUGUAUUUGUGCACAGAUGCAUGUGCCCAGUUGUGUGUGCACAUGGAAGCCAGAGAUCAACUUCAGACGUUCCACAGGGACAACAUCCACCUCAGCUUUUGUUUGUUUGUUCUGUUUUGUGUUUUGUUCUUUUCGAUGUGGAUUUUUCGCACUCGCCUGGAACUUCUACAGUUGGCGAAGCUGAAGUUCUAAUGAUUUCACCGCUCACUCCUCAGCAAGAUAUGCAGUUUCCACAUUGUUAUUCCAUAAUUUACGUGUGUGCGUUUUGCUCACCAUAACCAGAAUUUCCUUAAGUGCACAUAUUUCCUAUAUUUGUGCAUUUAUUGUGGCGGAGCAUGAUGGUAAGGGCCCCAGAGCAGAGACUUAGUGAGCUUGUGGCUCUACCAAUUUGAAUCCUGUGCCCGCUUACAAGUUAUUGAAUUUCAUCACAUUUCAGCUUUCCUCUUGGGAACCCGUAGCUAAUAUUACUAGCUAUAUAGAGUUGUUGGCGAGAUUGGCUAGCAUGACUGAAAAGCUUCACUUGUUUAAGGGCCACUGAAAUCAUUCAAUAAACAUUAUUAAUCUUGGUAGCAUGAGUAUAGCUAUUACCAUCCCCGGUGACAGCACAGAAAGCUGUGCAAUAAACAGACAAUAUACACAAUUUUAAAACAGCCUGAGGUGUGAUUGUUGCUUUGACUUUGAACUUGAGUCAAGCAGAGAUGAGAUUUCAGUCUUCCUGCCUCAGUAUCUCAAAUGCUGGGAUUAUAAGCAUAUGCCUUUAAAGUGUGUGUGUGUGUGUGUGUGUGUGUGUGUGUGUGUGUGUGUGUGUGAGAGAGAGAGAGAGAGAGAGAGAGAGAGAGAGAGAGAGAGAGAGAGAGAGAACAACUUCAGCUGUCACUGUCUGUGUCUUUUUCAGGGUGGGAUUUGGGGAAUCAAACUAAAGUCCUUGUACUUUUGUGGCAGGCACUUUAUCGACUGAGGCAUCACCCUGUCCACUCUAUGGCUACAUUUACAGAAGUGUUUACAUUUAUUGUGGCAUGAAUAUUCAUGAUAGCUAUUAAAUAUUUUAAAUUUUAUAACUUAUAAUUAUAGCGGUCACUUUAUAUACUUUUUCAAAACCCAGAGGAUUACAGUCCUGCACACUAGCCACAGCGAGAGUGGACAAAAAAAGAGACAAAGAAGGAAAUGAGAAUUUUCACAAUAGUAUUAUAGUUGCUGCUAUAACAAGGUAGAUUUCAUAAUCUGAGUAUACUGCACAAAUGAGUGGGGGAUCCCGAGAGACUGGUAGGAUCCUGAGUGAUGGGUGGGUCCCUGAGAGUGAUUCUGGGUCUUUUCAUACUAGCAUGCUCCUCUCUUGGAGAUGCUUGUAGGAAAGGAAGUGAGAAAGUCAGUUGGCUUUCUUGCUUCUCUGUUACCCAGGCCACUGACUCACCUACAGUCAGAGCAUUUGUUUCUUUCGGGGUGAUUAUUAGUAAGUGAUGACUAAGGUUCCCAGGCUAAUUAGUGAUUCCAAAAUAUUUUCCAAAGAACUAAGAUGCUCUGUUGUUUGUGUCCAUGUCCUUAAAGCCUUAUCAGAUGAAGUAAAUGAUCUCAUCACACUCCUCCCUGACUGGCACUACCGGGCUUUCCUCAUCAGAACAAUCGCAUUUCUGAUUCAGUUUGUUCAGAAGCGAUGCCGCUUCUCUUUUAUUGGCACUGAAGUCAGUGUUGUUCAGCAUGGUAAAAGGAUUUAAGAGAAUCUUUUGAACUCUAGGUUCUGUGUGGGUAUGUCCUGCUUGUAGCCUACACCUCAGGCUAUGGUCCUUCUAUGAAGGAAGUUGGUCCUUUAAGGUUCCAAAUAAUGGGUAAUAAGGGUUGUCCCCUGUUACUGAGGAGAGUUAAGCAUUUGAUGUGCAAGUCUGAGUAGCAGGGCUUCACAAUGAUAGGUUGAUGAGAACAAGGGAGCUCCGGAGCCUCAAAGCCUGAGUUUGUGUCAUGGGUUGUCUCUCACACAAUCGGUUGUUGAGUUCAGUUCUGUCCACUGCUCUUAUUGGUGACUAGACCAUCCAAAACCAUACUGUAUGGUGUUUUAGAAAAUACCACAGUCUAUCAGUUAGGGAAAACUCAAUGAAAGCUACUCCCUCAAGAGAAGGCGUGUGACUAUUCCAGUCAAUAGGAGGUAAGUGAUUGAAUAAACACUGUCACUUUUCAAAACCUAUUAAAUGACAAAUGGCAUGUAUCGGAGUGAACCUUCAAUUCAGUUAAUGUGAUCUCACCCAGCCUCAAAGCCAAGGAUGCUCUAUGUCUCGUGCAGACUUUUUGUGUCUGUAGGCCAUGACACUAUCUUUGCCAGGCCCAGAGCAUGUUCUUCCUGGUCUGACUGCUUCUCACCACUCCAGCAUCUAGAGCUGAAUCUCACCACCUCCACCCAGCUUGACUUCACACACUCUCUCUCUCCACCCUAAUGAGCCAUGCUCCAGAGCACCCUUGAUGUACCCUCCAUGGCAAGAGGCUCUCACCCACCGAUUCCUUAUUUUAACACCCACCUCUCUCUCCUUUACCUAUCUUCUCAAAUGCUGUUACCUCUGCAAGAUCCUCCAAAAAUAUUCCUUCUGCCCAGUAACAAUUUAGACUCUGUCCUUAGAUGUUCUUCUAAAUCUUUGUUUAUUGUCAGUUCCUCCACGAGCCUUGGGACACAUCGAUAAUGGCACGUUUGUGGGAGACUUCACACCGCUAGUGUACUACAAAUCCUGAUACACAGAAGAGCUCACCAAAUAUGUGUAAACUAGAUAUAAGAACUUACUUGAUUUGGAUAGGAACAUCCUCAUUUUAUGGCUAUGAAAACUGGAAUAUACUCAUUCCAAAGGACACAGUUAGACUAUGGAAGCAUUUGAAUGAAGCUAUGGCUUCUUUGAAUGCAUUUAAUGGCCAUUAGCUUUUGGGCGAUCACAUUCACCUCUAAGUGGAGGAAGAGGCAGACACAUAAAAAUUAGUAAGGAUAAGUCAGAGUAAAGUUGAUGGUAAUUUUAUCACAUCAUGUAAAUGAGGAAUGGAUGAACAAAUGAGACAAAGAUUUUAAGGGCUAUAUUGACUCUGACCAGUGACACUCCACUAAUAAAGUUGAAGAAUCUGCAAGGUGCAGAAUUGUCCUUGUGAACUUGGAGCAUUGCUCCUUAGGUGGCGGCAGGCUUCCACUCUCUCUGAUAUGCUACUCACUAGUGAGCAAUAAGUUGGACAGAGUAAUAAAAAUAGUAAGACAUAAUGACAAUCCCCCUGGUUCUCCCAAGUCACCUUGCAGCUGAAACCUGGGGCUUUGCAAUAGCAUAGGGUGACUUAUAGGACACAAGGGGUCGAUAAAUUGAGAAACUUAGGGAUGAAUGUAGGGGAUGAAUGCACUCAAGUGGUUAUUCAUAAUUUGGAUUCUCUACCAACCACUUUAUUCUCAAUAGCCCAAGACUUAGAAUUCCUGUUUUCCUUUGCUUUAUUGUGUCCUAUUUUAUCUAAAGUCUCUUUGUUUUGGGAAUUUGACUAUAUCCCGAAUUGCUACAAAGAAAACCAAUAGAAAUAAAGAAAUGAAAAAAUAACUUGCUUCCUCAAACCUUGUCACUUAUUUUUCUAUUCAGACAAAGUGUGUACAAGACAGACAUCUGAAAGAGACAUGAGUAACUCUUUGGACCUAUGAAGAUGGCGUUCGAAUUUCCUUUAUUUUGGUGUCAUUUGACCACAUGUCCCAACCUUUUAACGACACAGAAGUCUGCGGUGGGGAUAUGGAAGCUAUGCAGGGUUGAGUGAAAGGGCAAAGUCUCAGAAAAUACAGAAAGUCCAGGUGAGGUCAGGCUUUCCUGGAAACCUGGAACCUUCUUCUCUUUCCCCCUCAUCAUACAGAGAAAAUUCUGGGCUGUUGGCAGCAUAAUGGAUGAACUAGCAGUGGAGCGAAUGUGCCUAUGCUUCCAGAAGUUCACUCUCUUAGGAGGGUGUUUUCUAGAGCCUGUCAGAAGAGGGUAGAAAUUAUCCAUUGUUUUUACCUUGAUUUUCUGGAUGCUUAGAAGGAAGUUUCAGACUUUAACCUUAGUUUAACCAUAUAUAUAAGCCAAAAAGAGGUGUUUGGUCCUCUAGAAAUAGAGUUAUAGUUGGUUAUGAACUACCACGUAGAUUCUGGAAUAGAAGCAGGGUCUUCUGCAAGAGCUAAAUAAAUAAAUAAAUAAAUAUGCUAAUAAUUGCUGAUGUAUCUUUUCUGUCUCUAACCUUAAGAUUUCUUUUUUAAUUCUAGCAUUCAGAAAGGCCUAAAAACCUGAGUUUUAAUAUCAAGAUCAUGGAAACCUGGGUAACUCAUUUCCCAUAGUUUGGAACACAUGGUUUGUCUUGUUGUUGAGAUUUCAAAGUGGCUUCAGGGAUUAAAAUAGUCAUUUUACUUCAUGCCUUUCUUUCAUGCAUAAUGUUGGAGUCUAUUAAUUAUACAAUAGCAUUUAAUUUAAAAUAUACACUGAGAACAAAAGGCCCCCUUUUUGUACAUCUAAAGCAGAUCUCGCUCAUCUCAUUGUUGAAAGGUCUCUCUGGUAAUAUUGUGCUUUCUUUCUGCAAAUAAUUGGCAUUGCGACAUCCCUGUAUCUUUAUUUUUUUUAAUAGUUUAAUAUGAUUUUGUACCUGCUCCAGCUUCCCAUUUAAGUGCUGCUCCUUGUUAUAUCAGUCUCCAUUCUUAGCAAAAAAUGAGGCUGUUUUUGUUAGAUUAACCUUCUUCCCUUUCCUUCUUUGUGUAUUUUAGCUUUCAGCUCUACCCACUUAGUUAUAACGUAGUUGGGAGCAAAAGUACCAGAAUGUAACCCACUGGGAAAAUCAAGUCAGGAAAGAAGACCUGGUGCUGAGAAUUUGCCUAAGGAGCAUCUCUUAGGCAUUUCAAGGCCCAUCUGUCACUCACCAGCUGGGUGUUCUUCCCAAGACUCAGAAGUUCUAAUUUCUCUGACCUAAAUUGAAAACACCCAUUUCCUUUAUAUUACAGGUGGACAUGGUUCAUUCCCAUCUGUAUUUUGAGAGUGACUUGUCCCUAAAGACACCACUGAAAUAUAAAAAGGAAGCCAGGAGUAAGUUGUGUCAUACAACUCAUCCAAUGAAGAACAAGGGGCGGUGCCCCGUAGAUCAUGAAUUUCUAUCUGCUACCCUUCUCUCAACAGGAAACACAUCCCCGCCUUUGGUUUGAAUCCAACUGUCUUUAAUCUGGGUAUGUGAUCAUUUGUGGGGAGCAUGACAGGUAUAGUAUUCCUUAGGGCUAUCAAAUUUCUGCCAUUAGAAGAAAAAGUUGUGUGCGCCCAUGUGCGUUUUUAGGAGAGCUUUCCCUGACUGUAAGAUUUUCUCAGUGACACAGGAUACCAAAAAAGACGAAGAGCCAUCGAUGUCAUGACCCAACAUGAUGGAUUGUAAAAAGUCGUCCCAUAUUGGGAUGACACGACUUUUACUGCUUGGGAGGAUUCCUUUGGUUUGGGAAGGAUCAUGAGGAUUAUCCCCCAAUCCUUAGAGCCAGGAGGUCAUCUUCCCUGACGUAGCUUCUCUAUUACUCGAGAAAUUGUGGUGUGGUUUUUAGCUGUGGUUAGUUCCUUUAUGCUUUUUGUUUUGUUUUGUUUUUAAUUUUUUUUUUGAUUUUGCUUUUUGCGGGGAAGGUAGUGCUGAGGACUGAACCCCAAGGCUUUACAAGUGCCAGACCUCCGUCAGUAUUGCCAUAUGGCACCUCUCAUUUCCCAAAACGUACUCUGACAAUUGGUAGGACUUUGAGGAUGAAGGAAAAGGAAAGCACACAUCAGGAAUUCAAACUCUGUGAGAAUUUUCCUACUUCUCCUUUAGUCUCCAAAGCCACCAAGUCUUUACUGAGAGCCUGGUGCAGCCAGAAGCGUAGAUUAAAAACUCAUUUGUAAAGGGAUCAGUCCUUAAACAGAUCUCCAAAGGGAUGGGAGCUUUCAAAGGUCCCACCAAUUCUUUAGUGUUAGUAUCUGUUACUCAAGAGUUUACCAAGUUUUACUUGGAGAAACUCACCCAACAUACACUGUAGCGCACAGAUCAUAAUAAAUCCAAGUGGUUAUGUUUUCUUAUCUUUAAAACGAGAGCAGUCAGAUUCCCUUUCAUAUGCAGAAACUGCCUAAGCAAAUAUUUUCUUAGUGCACAGUACAAUGGCAGACCAAUAUGCAUUUGAGCUAUGUUUCCUAUUAUAAUUACAGUUAUGAAUACAGUAGAGUUUGCAGAACAGGAAACUGAGAAACACAGAAGUAGGGAGCUUGCACGAAGGGUUACCCUUAUAUUAACGUUUGCUUAUUCAAUCUUCAUUGAGUCUAUGUUUUAAAAAUUCAUCUAUUUUAUUUAUGUAGUUGGUAUGUGUGUGUGUGUGUGUGUGUGUGUGUGUGUGAGAGAGAGAGAGAGAGAGAGAGAGAGAGAGAGAGAGAGAGGGAGAGAGGGAGAGAGAGAGGGAGAGAGAGAGAAUGUGUGAGCAUUUGCAUCCAUGGUGUAUACGUAGAGGACAACUUGUAGGGGCCUCUUCUUGCUUUCUGCCAUGCAGGUCCCCGGGUUUGGUGGCUGGUACCUUUAUCCACUGAACCAUCUGGCUGGCCCAAAUCUAAGUUUUACCAUUUGCUAGGAAUUGAAAGUUAGUUCAGCAGGGCCAUAUUAAUGUUCUUCCGUAUGUAUAUGCUCAUGUGUGUGUAGAAGUGUAUGUGUGUGCACCUGCACAUAUGUGUGUAUGCAUUUGGAGGCCAUUGGUCAAUCUUGGGUCUUUUUCCCCAAGGGUCAUCUAUUUUGUGAUACAUGCUUUCUAAACUGACCUUGGGCUCACCUGUUACACAACCGUGGCUCACUAGUGAGCUCCAGGAAUCCACCUCUCUCUACCCAGACAUCAGUGGGAAUACAACCACAUGCAACUGUGUGUGACGUUUUAUGUAGGGUCUGGGCAUCAAAAUCAAGUCCUUACUCUUGCAUAGUGUAAGUACGUCUCUGACCGAGCUGUUUCCACAGAGCAGAACUUACUUAACUCAUCUUCAUUUGGAGCUUCUUUUUCCUCCAUCUUCAUUGGAUGUCAUAUUUUAAUGGGUUCUUUUUACUUAUCUAAAAAAUGGAUCGAUAAAAAAAAAUGGAUCGGACCUAUAUUUGCUCCAGAUUCUAUGUUUUAGAGUUAAGAGAUCUAAAGGAAAUGACCAUCCAAAUCUAUUUAGUAUUUUCUGCUACUGUGGGGGCAUUUGUGUCUUUCUGAUACUGUUUGUGUUAAUUGGCAGGAAGGAAGGACCCUAUUAGGAGAAAUUUGGACAUGGUAAGGAAGAUCCUUUUUAAAAUGUAUUUGUGUGGUGUUGGUUAUUCACCCGUGGAACCUUUGAAGGUAAGGAGCACCCAUAUGGCUUAUAGAAUAGUAUGUUUCUAGUAGGGACUAAAUAUUUAUAUAUGACAAAGAACAUUUGUGGUCACUCGGUUUCAGGGAAAAACACAGCUCCAUCAAUCUUAGCGCUGUGAAGGCAAGUACUGUUCCCUCCACAGAAUAUUAUGUUGCAGGGAGGUGAGGUGUGUUUAAGGAGCUCCUGACUGAGUGGAAAAGGAUGGAAAGCAAAGUGACCUAACUACAUGCAAUCCCGUCAUCCUUCUGAUGCUGUUGCCUAUGUUCAGUGCCAUUGUGACUUCUUCCCUUCUGCCCUGGGCACCGAGCUUGAUGAAUCACAUGCCACUCCUUCUCACCACUCUUGUGGCCAUCGUUCAAGUUGCUGACAUGGCUCUCUAUAUCUGGGUACCUGGGAGAGUCAUGGCCACACGUUGUGAGACAAUGUUUCCUGUUGGCUUGUUUAGGGGAGAAGAGAGGGAUAAGCUAAAAAUUUGACUUCUGUUUUCAACCAAACAUUUUGUCUGUCGUGGAAAAUUUAGUCAUAUUAACACCAGUAAGAAAAAGGCUCUGUUUAAAUUUGUUAUUUAAGGUAAUAAUGGAAUGACUGAUACCUGGCUAGCUCUCUGUAACGAGAAACUUGCAAGUCAAGAACAUCAUUGAUCUUUCUUAUGAACGUGGUUUUGGUUGCCAUUCUGUAAAAGUGUGUUAAGAUGUUCAAUACAGUAGCUACUGGUCCCAGGUAACUACUGAACACAUGAAAUGUGAGUUCAAGUCCAGAUGUAUUUGUAAGUAUGAGAUAUGUUAUACACAUGACGUCACAGACCACAAUGAUUUUUGUGUAUUGAAGGCUGAAAGGAACUAUUUGGAAACUAUUGUACAGGAUGUCAUAGACUUCAAGUAAAAGACAGCUCAAUAAUUUCUUUUCAUUGUAGGUUGAAAGGGAAAUAUUUUAGAAGUAUGAUAUAGCUGCCUCCUGAGAAGCUCUGCCAGAGCCUGACAAAUACAGAGAGGUGUAUGCUCGCAGCCAACCGUUGGACUGAGAACGGAUCCCCAAUGGAAGAGUUAGAGAAAGGCUGAGGAUAUCAGCCUGGCCUGGGCUUGGCUGGCCAUCAAGACUCAGGGACUUGCCUGACUCAGCCUCUCUGGUAUUGUGACCCAAGGCGUGGCAGUAACCAUGACUCUGGACUAUUUAAAACUGUGAAUCCUGGAGAUGGAAGUCUGAUCCUCGUGCUUGCAUGGCAAUCAUGUUACUCUAAACUAGUACCCAAACCUUGUUCCAUUUAUAUGAAAUGUCCAAAAUGCUGAACCAUAGAAAGAAGCGAGUGGUUCCCUAAGGGUGAGGGUGGGAAUUUAGGAGAUAGGAAGUAAAGGACCUAUCUUUAUGUGUGCUUGAUGAUAAAAACUGGUUUGAACUGGACUAUUAAAACAUUUGCACAAUGAUAUGAAUGUGCUACAGCUAUUAAAUUGUCUCCCUUAUAAGGCAAAUUUUAUGGUAUGUUCCUCAGUGAAGCUGUGAAAAUCCGAAGUGUAUUGCCCUUUCUUCUUUAUUGAAUUGGUGCCUUGUGGAUACAGGAUUCCAACGAAGGAACAUUGCCUUUGGAGACAUAAGAUCUUAGACUAAUAAAGGAACAUUCCAAACAUAAUCCGGAAAUGAUGACAAAACAUAACAAUGGUUCUCAAAGCUUCUGAAAAGUUAGAGAUGCCCGAAUGUCAAAAGCUGGGAUUACAAGUGCCCAGAGAUUGGAGAACAAAUCUGGAGGAAUGGGCUUUGUUUCAACACCUGCCUCUGGACUGAGAGUCCUAAUCUAAUGAUCUAAUGAUCGCCGAAGAGAUGCAGGCUCAGCAAAGGCCAAGGCAAAAAAAAAAAAGAAAAGUAAGAAAUGUGUUCAAUAGAAAAUUUCUCCAUCCACCCCAAAAGUGCAAUCCCCGUUCAUUCCUAUGCAGAAUAAAGAUUUCUUACAAAAA